CCAAUCAUUUGAAAAUGCUAACACCACAUGAAGGAAGUGGAGAAUGCUCUUUAUUAAAGAUUAUGAUCUUAUACAUACAAGAAAACAAACUUGAAGUUUUUUAAAAAAAGAUGUUCUUUCAACAACUCAAUAUGAAGAUAUCUCAAGAGCCGCUAAUUUGGAGAAAGGUAAGAAGGUAUAUCAUAUAUUUCUUCAGAGUUACCGUCAAGUAAAGAUUUUGAGUAACUAGUAUGAAAGAUUAUUUAAACUUCUACGUUGUCUUUAUGAGGGGGAGACAAAAAUGUGAAAGAUUAUUUAAACUUCUUUGUUGUCGUU
RNAcentral lists this long non-coding RNA (315 nucleotides) under Medicago truncatula (barrel medic). RNAcentral describes it as "long non-coding RNA (MTRU_LNC000398)". The record is from RNAcentral. Lineage: Eukaryota; Viridiplantae; Streptophyta; Magnoliopsida; Fabales; Fabaceae.